UACAGAGGGUGCGAGCGUUAAUCGGAAUUACUGGGCGUAAAGCACACGUAGGCGGCUUGGUAUGUCGGGUGUGAAAUCCCCGGGCUCAACCUGGGAACUGCAUCCGAAACUGCCUUGCUAGAGUAUGGGAGAGGGAAGUGGAAUUUCCGGUGUAGCGGUGAAAUGCGUAGAUAUCGGAAGGAACAUCAGUGGCGAAGGCGACUUCCUGGACCAAUACUGACGCUCAGGUGCGAAAGCGUGGGGAGCAAACAGG
This 253-nucleotide ribosomal RNA is filed under the name uncultured bacterium. RNAcentral describes it as "partial 16S ribosomal RNA". It matches the Rfam family "Bacterial small subunit ribosomal RNA", at positions 524 to 776 of the family's 1533-position model. The record is from RNAcentral.